AGAAUCAACGCUGGCGGCGUGCCUCAGACAUGCAAGUCGAACGCGAAAGUCCCCUUCGGGGGGCGAGUAGAGUGGCGCACGGGUGAGUAACACGUAGGUAAUCUACCUUUGGAUGGGGAAUAACAACCGGAAACGGUUGCUAAUACCGCAUAAUGCAGCGGCACCUAAUGGUGACAGUUGUUAAAGCGGGGGAUUGAAAGACCUCGCGUCUGAAGAGGAGCCUGCGGCGGAUUAGCUAGUUGGUAAGGUAACGGCUUACCAAGGCGACGAUCCGUA
RNAcentral lists this ribosomal RNA (276 nucleotides) under uncultured soil bacterium. RNAcentral's name for it is "partial 16S ribosomal RNA". It matches the Rfam family "Bacterial small subunit ribosomal RNA", at positions 26 to 285 of the family's 1533-position model. The record is from RNAcentral.